Molecule: ribosomal RNA, 254 nt
Filed under: uncultured bacterium
Lineage: Bacteria
Description: partial 16S ribosomal RNA
Rfam family: Bacterial small subunit ribosomal RNA
Source: RNAcentral
UACGGGGGGAGCAAGCGUUGUUCGGAUUUACUGGGCGUAAAGGGCGCGUAGGCGGUCGUGACAAGUCACUUGUGAAAUCUCCGGGCUUAACUCGGAACGGUCAAGUGAUACUGUCGGACUAGAGUACAGAAGGGGCAACUGGAAUUCUCGGUGUAGCGGUGAAAUGCGUAGAUAUCGAGAGGAACACCUGCGGCGAAGGCGGCUUCCUGGCCUGUUCUUGACGCUGAGGCGCGAAAGCUAGGGGAGCAAACAGG